AGUGAACGCUGGCGGUAGGCCUAACACAUGCAAGUCGAACGGCAGCACAGUAAGAGCUUGCUCUUACGGGUGGCGAGUGGCGGACGGGUGAGGAAUACAUCGGAAUCUACUUUUUCGUGGGGGAUAACGUAGGGAAACUUACGCUAAUACCGCAUACGACCUACGGGUGAAAGCAGGGGAUCUUCGGACCUUGCGCGAUUGAAUGAGCCGAUGUCGGAUUAGCUAGUUGGCGGGGUAAAGGCCACCAAGGCGACGAUCCGUAGCUGGUCUGAGAGGAUGAUCAGCCACACUGGAACUGGGACACGGUCCAGACUCCUACGGGAGGCAGCAGUGGGGAAUAUUGGACAAUGGGCGCAAGCCUGAUCCAGCCAUACCGCGUGGGUGAAGAAGGCCUUCGGGUUGUAAAGCCCUUUUGUUGGGAAAGAAAAGCAGCAGGUUAAUACCCCGCUGUUCUGACGGUACCCAAAGAAUAAGCACCGGCUAACUUCGUG
Molecule: ribosomal RNA, 491 nt
Filed under: uncultured bacterium
Lineage: Bacteria
Description: partial 16S ribosomal RNA
Rfam family: Bacterial small subunit ribosomal RNA
Source: RNAcentral